GAAAUGCGAUAAGUAAUGUGAAUUGCAGAAUUCAGUGAAUCAUCGAAUCUUUGAACGCAUCUUGCGCUCCUUGGUAUUCCGAGGAGCAUGCCUGUUUGAGUGUCAUUAAAUUCUCAACUCUCUUAUACUUUGUUGUAAAAGAGAGCUUGGACUGUGGAGGUUUGCUGGCCGCUUGUUGAGGUCAGCUCCUCUGAAAUGCAUUAGCAGAACCGUUUGCGAUCUGCCACAAGUGUGAUAACUUAUCUACACUGGCAAGGGGGAUUGCUCUCUGUGUUCAGCUUCUAAUCGUCUCAGGUUGAUGAGACAACUUCUUGAAUGCUUGACCUCAAAUCAGGUAGGACUACCCGCUGAACUUAA
RNAcentral lists this ribosomal RNA (357 nucleotides) under Agaricus aff. subrutilescens 31-632. RNAcentral describes it as "eukaryotic LSU rRNA". The stretch from base 1 to 105 matches the Rfam family "5.8S ribosomal RNA", at positions 50 to 154 of the family's 154-position model. Lineage: Eukaryota; Fungi; Basidiomycota; Agaricomycetes; Agaricales; Agaricaceae. The record is from RNAcentral.